GACAAAUUAGGGAUAGGAAAAAUGGAGCCUUAAUUAAGGGCGCGUCCAAUAGAGGAGGAGAAAGCGAGCGAGCGAGAGCGUGCGCACGGCGGCGAAGGUCGUAGAGGACGCAAGAGGCGGCAUAAACACUAAAGGCCAUUGCUAAUGGAAGAUCAACUUCAUGAUGCUCUGCAUUCUGAGCCCACAGUCAAAGCCACCCUGUGUCUUGGGUCAGAAUUAUUCUCUGUUAAUUCAGAAACAGGCAUUCUAUCUGAACAGUUGGCUACAAUGAAGGAGAAGAGUAUGUGCAUCCUAAAAGACUACAUCACCAAACACAAUGCCCCAAAUGAUGUUCCUGAUGAAGCUCUUGAGGGGUCUUCAGGAGAUGAAAGUGAAGAACUUGACAAUCCACCGAAGAAGUCCAAGAAGCAAAAAUAGCUGCCUUGCAAUCUUUGGAUGGGUAAAAGAUCCAAAAGAAACCACGAGUGUGAUGUGAAUGCAGUGCUGAUUAUAGAUAUAGCAAAGGCCUUGUAUUAUUGUUCAUACGUUUCCAGAGAUCUGGACAAUUAUGUAUUAGCAAAGUUAGAGUCUCUUUCUUGUGCUUUUUUUGAAAGGCAUGAUUUUUCAGUGUUGUCUUUGUAGGAUGUAAUAUGAGUAUAUCCAGGUUAAGAUUGAUCCUAGUCAUUAUCAUUAUUUUAAUAUGGCUGAUCUUUUUUGAUGUCAAUAUUGUAAAACUUUUCUUGGAAGGCAUGAUUUUUCGAU
This is a long non-coding RNA of Elaeis guineensis (African oil palm), 741 nucleotides long. RefSeq lists it as uncharacterized. The record is from RefSeq and is a predicted model, not a curated record. NCBI's taxonomy places the organism in Eukaryota, Viridiplantae, Streptophyta, Magnoliopsida, Arecales, Arecaceae.